This 2682-nucleotide long non-coding RNA is filed under the name Manihot esculenta (cassava). RNAcentral describes it as "long non-coding RNA (MESC_LNC005572)". Lineage: Eukaryota; Viridiplantae; Streptophyta; Magnoliopsida; Malpighiales; Euphorbiaceae. The record is from RNAcentral.
UCCCUUUCAACAGCCGUUUUACCCCUUUCAUCUGAUCAAAUCUUAUCACCAACUCGUCCUUCUCCAUCUCAGAAUCUCCACAACCGAAAUCUUGUGCUCUCGCCAUCAUCUAUGCCCUCAUCAUCCUUUUCUUCUUCUUUCUUCAUCUUUGCCCUCUUCAUUCUCGGCGUUCUUUCUUUCUCGGUCUUCCAUUUUCGUGCACUCAAAGGACAAAAACUAUUUAAGAUCUUCUUCAUUCCUUCCUUCAAUUUUCUUCUUCGUUUAUGCAAGAUCUACUUGAAUGGAUUGUAAAUAAUGGCUUUUUUCAAUGAUUAACAUAUUACACAAAUUUGGGGCUUUUUUCACUUGAUGGCAGAGGUAACAGGAUAGCAUGCAAAGAAAUUAAAGAGGUUUUGUAUUUUAGUUUAUGCUUUUGUAAUGCAUUGAGAAUUGAUAUAUAUUUCAUGUGUUUUCUUUUAAGUAUUGAAAUAGUUGUUUUGUAUUUUUCUGUAUUUUUAUUGAAUCUCUCAAUGUUUAAGUGGUAUUAGAAUUAAUUUAUAAAAUAAUUAUUUUCAUAUCAAAUCUUUAAUGGAUGGAGAAAUUAUUAGGGUUCAUGUUGAUUUUCAAUGGGAUAUGGUGAGAUUCAUGGUGUGGUCACAUUGUGGUGUGCUUGCUGAAUGAUGAGACUCAGAAAAUUAAAUACCUUCUAGGAAAUUGGUUUUGAGUGAUCGAAUAGUACCGAAUCAAUUUAUUUUGUUGGAUUCAAUUUGAUUAAAUUCUAAUAUAUUAUUUGACUUAAUUCUAAAAUAUAUGUAGUUUAAUUUUUCAGUUUAAGUUCAGACUCGAAUCAAACCAACAGAUUGAUCACUCUUAUCUAUUCUUUUAUUUUAUUCCUAUUUUAUUUCUUCAUUCUCUUCACCGAUCUCAAAAACCCUAAGAAAUUCAAAUCUUAACUCCACAAUUUUGCAAAUUUACAUCUAAUUUAUUUAUAAAAUUAAAUAGAUAUAUGUUGCUUCUCAAAUAAUAUAAAAUUUAUUUAUAAAAUUAAAUAGACAUAAAUGAUAGGUCUCAAAUAAUAUAAAAUUUAUUUAUAAAAUUAAAUAGACAUAAAUGAUAUUUUAAAACAACACUUAGUCUGUUUGUAAAUUAAAUGAAUAUAAAUGAAUUUAAAAAAAAAAAAAAGAAGAUGUGAUCUGAUUAUAAAAUUCAACAAAUACAAAUAACUUUAUAAAUAAACAUAGUUUAUAAAAUUAAAUGAAAACAAAUAAUUUCAUAAAUAGAUAUAUAAUCUAUUCAUAAAAUUAAUUGGAUACUAAUAAAUUCACAAAUAGGUAAUCAUUUUUAAAAUUUAAUAGAUACAAACAGUUGGAUUUUGAAAAUUUAAAUUGACACAAAUAACUUUACAAAUAGAUGUAUCAUUUAUUUAUAAAAUUAAAUGGACCAAAUAAAUUAAAUGGAUCAAAUAACUUAUGAAGUGAAUAUAUAAUUUAUUUAUAAAAUUAAUUAAAUGGAUAUAAAUAAAUUCACAAAAGACGUAUAAUUUGUUUGUAAAAUUAAAUAAACACAAAUAAAUUUAUAAAAAAAAACGUAUAAAAUUAAACACAAACAGAUUAAAAAAUAAAUGUAUAAUCUAUUUUAGAUUUUAAGGAAUACAAACAAAUCCACAAUCUGAUAUUUAAUUCAUUUAUAAAAAGAAUAUAUUUACUAAAUUAAGUAAAACUAUAAUAGUUACAAACAGGCAUAGACUGUUUUUAUUUUCCUAAAUUCUUGUAAUAUGCAUUCAACAAUAUUAUUGAAAGACACACAAAAUCAUCUUCAAUUUAUUCCAUACGGUGGAUAUAGAAUAGUCAAAAUAUAAAGAACUUCAGCAAUUUUCAGUUUGCAAAUAAUUUUCAAACUCCAGCGCUUGUUAUUCAUUUCAUUGAAUUUUUUAAGUCUAUAUAUUGUUGCGGUUCAUUGGAAAAGAAUUUAUUAUCCUUGUAAAAAAUUAUAAAAAAUAAAAAUAAUAAAGAAAGAUGGAAGGUUAAAAUAGUAAUUUUUUCUCCAUGAAGGUUGAAUAAAAUUUAUAUUUCCACGAUACAAUGCCUAAUUAUAAAAAUAUCACACUUUUUAUUUUAUUUCAAGAACUCAUCCUAAAAUAUAAAAAUAGAAGAAUUUAAAAAUUGAUAAAAAUAGAAGAAUUUAGAAAGAAACAAUAAUAAUAAUAAUAAUAAUAAUAAUAAUAAUAAUAAUAAUAAUAAUAAUAAUAAUAAAUGCACUUGAACAUUACUGUUGAUGCACCAAAGGACUGUGCAUCUCUAUUUUUUAAAAUAUUUAUUAUUAAAUAAUGAAAAAUAUGUAAAUUUAUAAUAUAAAAUGAGAAUGAAGGUGAGAAUUCAUAUAUUUAUGAUAUAUAUCUAUAAGUUUGAUCUAAAUAAGUUUUUUCUUGAAUAAUAUUAAAAUAUUUUAUAUCACAGCACUUUUAAUAGACUCUCAUAAGAAUUCUAUGGUACUUAUCGUUGAUGAUGCUUGAUAUGGGUCGGCGGUCCUAGCCUAAGCUCAAGGUCUAGCUCAAUCUGGGUCGUCUGUCGAUGGCUGAAUAGCAUAUAUGCAUCUUCUCUAGAUUCUGAUACAAGAGGAUUUAUUUCUUCAGAAUCUAGAUGAGGAAAAUCAACAGGUUUCAUGGACUUUGAAGUGUCCAAAGGAAGCAGGUUUUCAUCAGAG